Molecule: long non-coding RNA, 443 nt
Organism: Notothenia coriiceps (black rockcod)
Lineage: Eukaryota; Metazoa; Chordata; Actinopteri; Perciformes; Nototheniidae
Exons: 4
Source: RefSeq, a predicted model, not a curated record
GUCAGCGGGUAGGAAGCAGGACUGUGCGAAACAGUGGGCAGAGUGGUCGUCGGGAGUGGGACAGUGGCGAUGUGACAGAACUGACCACUCUAUUUUGAUCUGCUGAAGAGAUUACUACUUAUCAGGAAAAUGCAACAAGUGCCAGUGUUACAAUCGACAGUGGCUCCAGUUGAAGGGAGGCUACGUCGUAAUGUGCCAAGCCUUCCAGCGAUCAAGCCUGACAGGCUGAAAACAGCCAAAACACUGGUAGAGAAGGCAGUGAAGCUGAGGAAGGUGUUUUCAGUGCAGGGGCCCUACCCAGUGAUCCGUGCUGCCCUAUGGGCCAGAGGGUGGGUUGAACGCCAUUUUCCUAAUCCUACCCAGAGAGCACCUCAUUGCCGUGGCAAUGAAGAGGAAGAUGGCGGCGAUGGUGAUGUCAGUGUUCAUGUUACUGGUAAGACAAU